UCACAGCUGUUGAAGCUGUCAGUAAGGCGCCUCAAAUCCUACAGAGACACCUUGCAGGUGCCCCCCCCCCAACGCCUCAGUUCGCGGUUUGGUGAAAUAAAGCCGGGGCUGAGGCGUUACCUGUGUGUUCACGGCUGCCGGCGAGGAGCUGCGGGUGCCCAGGGCCGGGGCCGGGGCGCUGCUCAUCCCCUGGGGCAGCGGCGGGCAGGGGCUGCUCGGGGUCCGGCCUCACCGUGCCAGGGCCGCGGCUCGGGGCCCGCCUGUGGGCGGAGGGACGAGAAAAACCUCAGGGGGAGCGAAGUCCGGCGCGAAGCGCGGCGCGCCCGGCGCUCCAACAGAGCCCCCUCAGCGCCACGGAGCCGCCUCACAACCCCCGGCACGGCCCCGACCGGCUGCCGGGACCCAGCUCUCUCUAUAGAUAUAUUAAGAAAAAAAAGGAAAAAAAAGGCAAAAAAUAGAAGUGAAAAGCGCCACCAGCCCCCCCCCCGCAACCCGGGCACACCCGCGGGGCCGCCCCCCGGGCCGAGGCCGCUCCGGGAGCUCCGAGCCCUGAGGCCGGGCCCGGCCCCGCCGCCCCCUCAGCCCCCGGUACCUCGGCGGGGGCAGCGCUGGGCCCGCGGCCGCGCAGGGCCGGCACCGAGAGGGGGCCGCGGGCGGCGGAGGCCGAGGGGGAGGCACCGGCCCCGCCCCGCCUCCGCCAGCGGCCUCAGCGCCCCCGGCGGCCGGAGGAACGCGGGGCACGGCCCCGGCCGCCCGCACAGCCCCGGUGGGUGCCGCUGGAGGCCCGAGGGUCCCGGCCUGCCCCGCACCCCACCCCCCCCCCGCCGCUUUUGUCACGAGAAACGAGAGGUUGAGAACGCAAUCCAGGAGAAUCCAGUGCAUUUAUUUCUUCCGGGUGUUUCAGCUCUGGGUUUUAACACAUACAAAGUAAUGGUUGCGAGUUUAAUGACAAGCAGCACUAGAAGCAAAUUACUGCGUAAAACUCAUAGAAAAAUGGGUUCUGUUCCUGAAAAAGAAAACAAGCAUUCCAAACAAAGGCCUCAUGAAGGAAGCAAGCGUACCCCUUAA
Molecule: long non-coding RNA, 1068 nt
Filed under: Cairina moschata (Muscovy duck)
Lineage: Eukaryota; Metazoa; Chordata; Aves; Anseriformes; Anatidae
Description: domestica (muscovy Duck (domestic type)) lncRNA (ENSCMMG00000011598.1)
Source: RNAcentral